CUAACACAUGCAAGUCGAACGGCAGCACAGAGGAGCUUGCUCCUUGGGUGGCGAGUGGCGGACGGGUGAGGAAUACGUCGGAAUCUGCCUAUUUGUGGGGGAUAACGUAGGGAAACUUACGCUAAUACCGCAUACGACCUACGGGUGAAAGCGGAGGACCUUCGGGCUUCGCGCAGAUAGAUGAGCCGACGUCGGAUUAGCUAGUUGGCGGGGUAAAGGCCCACCAAGGCGACGAUCCGUAGCUGGUCUGAGAGGAUGAUCAGCCACACUGGAACUGAGACACGGUCCAGACUCCUACGGGAGGCAGCAGUGGGGAAUAUUGGACAAUGGGCGCAAGCCUGAUCCAGCCAUGCCGCGUGUGUGAAGAAGGCCUUCGGGUUGUAAAGCACUUUUGUCCGGAAAGAAAAGCUUCGGGUUAAUACCCCGAGGUCAUGACGGUACCGGAAGAAUAAGCACCGGCUAACUUCGUGCCAGCAGCCGCGGUAAUAC
RNAcentral lists this ribosomal RNA (489 nucleotides) under Lysobacter sp. 06-2. Its description in RNAcentral is "bacterial SSU rRNA". It matches the Rfam family "Bacterial small subunit ribosomal RNA", at positions 48 to 526 of the family's 1533-position model. Lineage: Bacteria; Pseudomonadati; Pseudomonadota; Gammaproteobacteria; Lysobacterales; Lysobacteraceae. The record is from RNAcentral.